CGCGUAGGCGGUCUUAUAAGUCAGAUGUGAAAGCCCACGGCUUAACUGUGGAAGAGCAUUUGAAACUGCAAGACUUGAGUACCAGAGGGGAAAGUGGAAUUCCCGGUGUAGAGGUGAAAUUCGUAGAUAUCGGGAGGAAUACCGGUGGCGAAGGCGACUUUCUGGCUGGAUACUGACGCUGAGGCGCGAAAGCGUGGGGAGCAAACA
This 207-nucleotide ribosomal RNA is filed under the name uncultured delta proteobacterium. Its description in RNAcentral is "partial 16S ribosomal RNA". It matches the Rfam family "Bacterial small subunit ribosomal RNA", at positions 568 to 774 of the family's 1533-position model. Lineage: Bacteria; Deltaproteobacteria. The record is from RNAcentral.